GACGAACGCUGGCGGCGUGCUUAACACAUGCAAGUCGAACGGAAAGGCCCUGCUUGUGUGGGGUGCUCGAGUGGCGAACGGGUGAGUAACACGUGAGUAACCUGCCCUUGACUUUGGGAGAACUUCAGGAAACUGGGGCUAAUACCGGAUAGGAGCUCCUGCUGCAUGGUGGGGGGUGGAAAGUUUCGGCGGUUGGGGAUGGACUCGCGGCUUAUCAGCUUGUUGGUGGGGUAGUGGCUUACCAAGGCUUUGACGGGUAGCCGGCCUGAGAGGGUGACCGGCCACAUUGGGACUGAGAUACGGCCCAGACUCCUACGGGAGGCAGCAGUGGGGAAUAUUGCACAAUGGGCGGAAGCCUGAUGCAGCAGCGCCGCGUGCGGGAUGACGGCCUUCGGGUUGUAAACCGCUUUCGCCUGUGACGAAGCGUGAGUGACGGUAAUGGGUAAAGAAGCACCGGCUAACUACGUG
RNAcentral lists this ribosomal RNA (468 nucleotides) under uncultured bacterium. RNAcentral's name for it is "partial 16S ribosomal RNA". It matches the Rfam family "Bacterial small subunit ribosomal RNA", at positions 28 to 507 of the family's 1533-position model. The record is from RNAcentral.